Molecule: long non-coding RNA, 9432 nt
Filed under: Marmota monax (woodchuck)
Lineage: Eukaryota; Metazoa; Chordata; Mammalia; Rodentia; Sciuridae
Source: RNAcentral
ACUGAGAAUAGAGUGAGUCUGCUCUUCUCUCUGUUCUGCUCUUCUCCCUGCUCUACAGAUAAGGACACUCUGGCUGAGUAACACAUCUAGAGUCAUCCAGCAAAUAACUGGCACACGAGAGUUCUGACCCACACUUGCUACCUGCAGAACCUGUACCGUCAAUGUCCACACAGCGCAGCUCUAGGAAAUGAUGGCCCAUUUUCUUUCUUCCUUUUUUUUGAAACAGGGUCUUGUUAUGUUGCUCAGGCUGGCAUCCAACUCCUGUAAUCAGGAGAUGCAGAUGAAGAUGGAGAUGGAAUAACAAGCCUCUCUGAGUCCUGGGUCAACUUCUGCAAACUCUCCCAUUAAGGCCACCUCCCUUUCUCCUAUCCAGCAAUGCCCUGUCCCCUAGAAGAGGUUAAAUUCCCCAAAUCAAUGCUUUGUUUUUCUGACUAGUUUCUUCUGAACAAAAGCACUUGUUUCUUUAUUUUCCACUUGGAACAUAUCAAAGCAAACCCCAGGGCAGCUUUGAUAUCUUCUUGCAGCAACACAGUCACAGGUAUGAUGGCGGUUACAGAUUUUUCUCUGCCUUAAUAAAGAGAGAAGAUGCUGUCUGAAAAGACACAGCCCACCCAGGAUGGGUGUGUGGACUCCACCCUCCUUAAUCCUGCAGGCUGAGUGAUCAGCUCCUUAGGUUAACAGAAGCAUGUCCCUAAGUGACCAUGUUACUGCUUGCUGGGACCAAAGGCCAAGCCCAUUCUCCUGCGAGGGACAGAAAACUCUUUGGCAGAGGGAAUUUUUCAACUACAGUCCUUGCAGGAAGAGACUAGUCAUGGGGCAGGUUGAAAGGGGGGAAUGUACACUCUGCUCAGGACCCAGGUGCCAGGCCUGAGGUGUACUGGGAUCAUUUGGGAAAACCAGAAACCUAUAAGAUGGAGCUUCCUGAGGAAUCCCUGGCCACUAUCCCAAGUUGAUGGGGAUGUCUGAAGGAAAAUUUGGGGUUCUCAGACUGUCUUGGUGUGAAUCACUUUGGCUUCUGAGAAGCCUGUAAAUUCCUUCUUAGAAUAAUGUCAUAAAUACAGAAAACCAAGUGGGAUUAAAGGAAAGCAAUUCUAUUGAAGCGGGAUAUAUCCAUGCCUUCCUUGGUUAAGAACUGCUUAGGGAACUAAAGAGGCCUACAUUUUGACACAAAACAUAACUGUGGGGAAAGAGUUCUUGUGAGAUCUGGGUUUUGUAUCUCAGACUGCCAUGGGCCAUUUGGACAGCCACUUGUGAUAAAGACUACUUGGUUCUUGCAGAGCAUCCAAUUCAAGUGACUCAGUCUGAGUGUUGACUGAGUCACAUAGAUGUUGUAUUAUACUUGAACCUCAAAUGGCAGGCUGCAAUAUGUCUUCUAAAUGUAGAGACAUUUCCAUAGAAUCAGAUUUUGACUGUGUUGAAUAGGUUUGUUUAUGAAGGACAUCAACACAUUGUUUUAUAUUUUACAUUUUAGACUACUUUUUUUAUGAAGUAUAUACAUCAUAAUUCAACCCAAUUCAAUCCUCAGAGACAUAUAGAUAUAGGGCAUCAAAGACUCACUUUAACUUUGAUUUACAUCUUCAUAGUGGUUUCCCAAUGUCCAAUGCUUGCUGUGUAUUUAGACAGUUUCCAUGGAGCCUGAGAGCUGCCCUAUGCACAUUGAGUUCCAUGCUUAGUACGAAUUACAUUGAUCAGGCUGAAGCUUUUGCUCACCUGCUCCUGUGGGGCUUUGCAACUCCAACAGGCACCUGCACAUUCAGAGGUGUUGUCAUUACCCUCAGAGCUAUGUACACAAGCGAGUCCUGGCCUGUUAAGAGUUGCCUCCAGUUAUCACAGACCCAGACACAUGGCGCUGUGGAGGAGCCAAGGAGACAAGCAGCACCCACACCCUACCCCACAACCAGCAUCAGGACCCUGGCAUACUCACUCCUCCCCAUGCAGGUCUGGGUCACCUUCCCCAUGCAUCCUGCAACCCUGAUCCCAGGCCCAACUCUCACUCCCACACAAUGUGGGUGACAGGCCCCCUCUGCCAGAACCAUCCAAAAUAUACCGAGACCACUGUAGGGAAGACUUGAAUCUAGCAAAAGGCCCCUCCUGGCUCCCAGCCAAAGGAUUCUGCAAUCUCCUACAAUAACUUCUCUGCAGUGACCUCUUCAAAGGACCCUUCCUUAGCAGUUUACAUCAAUGCUUUUCAUGCAAUGUAGAAAGGUGUUUAAGACAGGUCUCUGGCUGAACUUACUUCAUAGUGGCAUCUAUAAAAGACUUGCAGUCUCCCCUGUGGUCUGGGACAUCCCCACUUGAGCUAUACUCUUCCACACAAUGUGUCCUUUUCAGAGGACUCACCAGCUAAACUGAAUUUUUACAGAUGGUGGUAUCUGCUCUAUGAAGCCUGAGGAAUUGGUGUCCUUAGAGUGUCUCAGAGAUGUCUACACUCAAGCAAGCCCUGAGUAAGGUCUGUUUCAGAUCCUGGGUAAAGCAUGGGGGUUAACAUAUUCAAGUUCUUAAGAAGUGCUGGAAGGAAAAAAAAAACUUCUGCAGAUAAUAAAGUCUAAAGAAUGUUUAAAUAUCAAAUAUGUCACUUCUUUACUUGGAAGUUGUCAAAUGGAAAUUGACAGAUUCAAAGGCGAAAGAAUAAAUUUCUCAUCUCUAAGAAAAAUCUUGUUUCCAAGGGAUAUAAAAAGAAUGAUGAAUGAAAGGAAUUGAAAAUCAAGUAAGCUCAGGGACCGAUUUUGCUUCAUGCACUCUAUUCAUCUGAAAAAAAAAUGCAAUCAUUUACUCACCUCUUUAGGGGAAGACAGACCUGAAGAGAAUAUUCAAGUGCCAAUUUCCUAUUACUAAUCUUUUCAAUGCAGAAAAAUAUGAUUUAAGCAGUCUUAACAAAAGCGGGAGUAGAUUAUAACCUCCUGACAUUGCCUUGUUGGACUUGCCGGUGGCCGCAGAUGAGCCCCAGACACCUGUAACUUCUUACAAAUAGUGUGACAGGUAAGCCCUUAAUAAAACAUCAACUCUAAAACCUUGGCAAAGGCCACUUGGCUUUCAAACAUUCUUUUGUGUAUCAAAGCUUAGGCCUGACGCUUCCAAAGGACACACGCUGCAAGAUGUUUUUGGUAGAUCUUAUGGCAAAGCUCUUUGCAACACCUUGGCAAGGAGAUCGUCAUUCCCUCCAAAAUACACAGGCCAAUGCAUGUGAGAACCGGCUCCCUCCCCUUCCAUCUGAAGCAUUUAAGAUCUCCAAGCUUUGCUUAGGCAGCUCUCUCUGUUUGGAAGGCCCUUCUUCCUAGAUCCUCUUCUGCAUAUAUGAGAUGCAAGGGUCCUUAUCACUCUACUAUAAGUAGAAGGACACUAGGCCAUCAUGCUGUGCCUUAAGAUGUGACUCUUGUCCACAUCCCGAUGGAGCAAAGCAUCUCACUCUUCCUGAAAUCUCAGACCUCAGUUUUCCCCCGUGGGGUUGGUAUGUUAACUCACAAGCAUUAUUUUAAGAAGCAAAUGAGCAAUUAUUAUUGUGUUAGAGCCGUAUAUAUUAAAGUAGUAUCUGGUGUUAGCUAUUAUUUGAAUCUUCCUUAAUAUUAUUAUCAUUGUGUUCUUUUUUUUAUAGGAAAGUUUAGUUAAUUCUUCUUUUGGACCAAGUUCAAAUAAUCUAAUUUCCUUUUUAUCGGUCCCACUUAGAAACCACCGCCACUGCAUGAAAUUUGCAGAAACGUGGCAACUGCCCUGUGAAAAGAACACUGGAAGAUUGGGGUGGCCCUGAAUAUCUCCCCUCUGUCAAUGUUAGUAUUUGAUGACCUUGUUUGUUUUUUGUGAUAGGUUUUUUUUUUUUUUUUUUUUCCAUCAGCCUGGGGAAAAUGGAGUAUAAAGAGGUAAAGCCAGGAUGGUUUCUCCAGUAGUCACUAGGGCUAGAGUGGGAACCUGUUCCUACCAAAGGCUCCAAGUUCCACCUCCUAUAACAAUAACUAGAAUAUAUGUUCUCGCUGUGUACAGACCAAUUAAAGUAAACUACAGGAUCCACUAGAGGAGAGUGAAUCUGGGAACCCACUUAUGGCAUGGGAACUGAGCAAUCAAGCUUUUCACAGUGAUUGAAGGUGCAGGUUUAAUAAUGCCAAGGGGUGGGCCGGCCCAGUCUCCCCAUGAAUUCACUAAUUGUGUUUAUUUUACACACGGUCUACCUGUGUCUUUGAGGUCUGGGAUCAUUAAGAAGGAAUGACAGUGCUCCUAUGCAGAGCAGUUGAUCCUGGAGUUCAAGGUCAGAGGGAAUCGUGUUAGCAGCAUGGCUGCUGGAGUCUCAGCUCUUAGGAGUCUCAGCUGUUGGAGUCUCAGGUCUUCUAAUGGGUUGGCCAGUCCAGAGAAAUCCCAUGCUGAACACCCAGCAGCACCCAUGCCAGCCAUCAAUGCAUGCAUCCUACCCCACUGGUGAAAGGGAAAUUCCAUGUUAUCAAUAUAAUUAGAUCAUCAAGGGGAAAAAGCUUUUCAAAUUAGCAAGAGAAUAAUUUCUUUUUUUUUUUUUUAAGGAGGGUACAAGUUUCACUUAAAUUUGGCUACAGAUCACACCUAGGCCACCUGGCCAGGUUGGGGAGCAGGGAUAACACCCAUGCUGGGGCCCAACAUAAGCUGGUGGAGGGAUUGCCUUGCAUCAGGAUUGAAGGCUCACACCAGCCUCACCAAAGUCCUGUAUCCAGAAUGCAUUUUCAAGGGAACUAAUCAGGCCUAUGACCCAGUUUCUGCCCAAGAAAAAAAAAGUCCUACAAGCAGACUGUUCUUGGGGUUCAACCACUUUGUACACUAUUCAUUAGCUCUUCACUUUCUGCCUUCUGGAACAUCAAGUGUACCUGUGCAAAUCCACAGUGCUGGGCAUCCGGGUUGUCUGCACACAGGACACACAGCCAUCCCAAUUCACAAUUAAGUGGCUAGUAUUUUAUAAAACAGUAGAAUAGAAAGAAAUGGGAACCAAAGAACUAUUUGUGUUCUUUUCAAUGGAAUAAUCAGAAAAUCCCCUAGAGAUUUUCAAAAUGGCCUAGAGACUCAUAUUUCACACUUAGAUAAAAUAUUCUGUAUUCUCUUCAUAUCUACAAUUAUGCAUUGUUUGUUAAUUAUUCAAUAAUCACUAAUCACUAUGUUCCAGACAAUUAGUUCAAGGUCUACCUUUCUCUAUUAACCUCACGAUUGGUAUUACUGUGUUAAGUGGUUUAAAUCUGGCCUACACAUUAUCAUAAUGAUAGAGUAUAGAAUCAUACAUGCACAUUACCAAGGACAUAUAUAUAUAUAUAUGUGUGUGUGUGUGUGUGUGUAUACGUGUGUGUGUAUAUAGUUUUUUACAAAAAAGCAGAGGAACUCACAUGGAUAAAAUUGCAAUUCUUAUAUGCAUAACAUUGGCAAUUGUUUUAGUCAGCUUUUUCACUGCUGUAACUAAAAGACCCGACAAGAACAAUUUUAGAGAAGGAAAAGUUUAUUUGGGAUCUCACAGUUUCAGAAGUCUCAGACCAUAAACAGUUGGUUUCAUUCCUCAGGGCUUGAGUUGAGGCUGAACAUCAUGGUGGAAGAGUGUGGUGGAGGGAAGCAGCUCACAUGAUGAUCAGAAGGCAGAGACACAGAGACUCUACUCACCAAAUACAAAAUAUAUACGCUAAAGCCAUACCUGCAAUGCCCACCUCCUCCAGCCACACCAUGUCCACCUUCGGUUACCACUCAGUUAAUCCCUAUCUGGGGAUUAAAUCACUGAUUAGGAUUAUAACUAUCAACCCAAUCAUUUCUCCUCUAAACCUUCUUGCAUGGUCUCACACAUGAGCUUUCAGAGGACAAACCAUAAUAGCAAUCUUUAAUUUGUGUAAUUCCAUGUUCACUGUCAGUAUGCUGUUUAUAAUAUCUACUGUUAAUAAUAAAGACAAUGAAUUGUCUCACUAUGGCAAUAUAUCUAUAUUGAUCUUUUCAAUAAAAGUUACUAUGUGCAUAAUGAGUGUCUAACAUAAUACCAUAAAAGAAAUGAAAGCAACUAAUCUUCUUGGGAGCCACUGUAAGUACAAUCUGCAAAUAAAAUAUUACAACUUCUUAAAAGUUUUUAUAAAACUUUUAAGUUUAUUUAAUUUUAAUUUUUUAGCACUCAUCAAAUUCAACUGGAUGAUUAGCAAUAGCAAUAGCUCAUACUGGCUCACACAAAAGGCCUAUUAAACUCCCAGGAAUUUUGUAAGCUAAUUGUUAAAUUCUGACGUUAUUAAAUAUCAAAUUAUACAGACUUGUAAGUUUGAAUUGAGUUAAAUUAAAUGGCACUUGGUGAUGUCUUUCAUAGCAGAAACUGACUAUGUUGGGAGUAUUUAUAUCAUAGAAAUCAGCAAACAUCACAAAUCAGAGCCUGAUUUGUUGUUUUGUUGAGUGCCUAGACUGAAGAAUGUAAAGAAGGAAAUGUUAGAAUAAAAUUAAACUUAAAAGUGUGUUGUGUACAUGGCUGUUACAUUGUGAAAUAGCUCAACAAAUUGAGACGAUGUUCUUCCAGUAUUCAGAGCCUAUCAUCCAAUUCAACACUCACAUCAUUGAAGAGCAGACCCUGCAAGUUCCAAUAUAUACAUCUUCAUUGUUUCAUCUUCACCUUAUUUGUUGACAUAAUUAUGAAAACAUCAAUUAACAUUCAUGUUAAAAUAACAGUUUUUACAUCAGCUACAACACUAAGUCAGCUACAGAUAUGAGAUGUCCACGAAAAUCAGGGAAAUCAUUAUAUGGGAGUUCAAUGGUAUUCAUGAUAUAAUUAUAUUUAUUUUAUGUUAUUGAUAAAUUGUGUGCAAUAUAUCUUCAUUCAAGGAUAAUUGGCAAUAAAAUUAUAUAUGUAUAUAGGCGUACUUUUUUGUUCAGAAGAGAUAAUUACUAAACCUUUACCAGUACUCCACUUAGUGAGUGUUUUCAUUAAUUUUUCUCUGCAUGUAUGAAAAUUCUAGUCAAUGUAGAGGAGAUCUAUUUGGUUGAGCAUGGUGGCACAUGCCUGCAACCCAGAAGGACCCAUUUGAGGCUAACCUGGGCUACUUAUUGAGACCUUGCCUCAAAAAUGAAAAUAAAAAGGCCUGGGAAUAUGGGUCAGUGACAGAGUACCCCUGGAGUCAAUCCCCAGUACUGCUACCAAAAUAAAAAGGAAAUAUAUUCACUUAAGUACUUUUUCCCAAGACAAGAUAUUGAUAUGUGUUGUUCAUUUAAAGAACUCCAAUUAAGAAAUAAAUUCCUUUAGUGAUACUUACCAAAAUUUAAGCUAUACUCAAAAUGAUUUAUAUACUACCAUUCCAGCAUUCUUAGCAAAAAAAUAUUAUCCACUUUCGUCCAUUUAAAUUACAGAAGUUCCCCACUCCUUUUACCCAUUGUUUUGUUUUCAGGGUUUCAAUUACCCAAGGUCAACAGCAAUCCAAAAUUUGGAGUGGAAAAUUCCCAAAAUAAAUCUUAAGCUUAUAUUGCAUGACACCUGAAUAAUAUAGUGAAAUCCUGCAUCAUCUCACCCCAUACCCUGGGGAUGUGAGUCACCCUCUCUCUGUCCAGCAUUAUCCAUCCUAUCAUGUACCCACCCACCAGCCACUUAGUAGCUGUCUUGGUUCCAGAUCAACUGUCACUAACUCACAGUGCUGUGCUCAACUAACUCUUAUUCUACUUAAUAGUAGCCCCAAAGCGUAAGGGUGGUGAUACUGGCAAUUUUACUAUGCCAAAUGGAAGUCAUAAAGUAGUUUUUUAAGUGAAAAGAUGGAAGUACAGAGACAUAUUUUGAGAAAUUUACAAAAUUUUUAUUACAAUAUAUUUUUAAAAAUGAAUAUUUAUUGCUGUCAAUCUCUUACUAUGCCUCAUUUAUAAACUGAACUUUAUCAUAGUCAAAUACGUAAAAGAAAAAUAUAGUAUACACAGGGCUCCAUACUAUCUGUGGUUUCAGGCAUCACUAGGGGUCUCAGAUUUAAUGAUGUUACAUAUCUCAUUAUUCCAUUUAUUUUUUAAUAAGAUUUUAUUUUUUCUUUUACUUAUAUUUUUAAAAACUUAUGUGUGUGUGCGUGUGUGUGUGUGAGAGAGAGAGAGAGAGAGUGUGUAUGUGUGUGUUUACAUAGGCACACCUACACAUACUGAACUUUUUCAGAAGAAUGAAAGCAAGGAUAUUCUAACAAGCUCAGUGUCCAGCUUCUUCCCAGAAGUCCAGGUAAGAGAGUCAGCCCAGUGUGGCAGGAAGGUACAAGAUUCCAGUCCUGUUACUAGCACCAAUCCCAGAGGAGCAUUGGCCAAGAAAGCUCAGAAGCAUGUUCCAAAAAACAAAGAAACAAAGGUGCAAUGAGAGAAACGGUGGAGUGAGGGUGUGCCCAACAAAGAGGAGCUAUAGAUAAUGCUGAGUGGGCAGGGCACCUGUUCAAGGAAUAACCAGAAUCUAGAGGAGACGACCAAGGUAUUCUAUCGAGCAAAGCACAUCUUGGGGGGCAGAUAUGUCAGGACAAAUCGAUUGUGAGAAUAAAAUUAUAUUUCUGGGAUUUCUGUGUUGUUGUUGCAUCUAGAAAAGUGCUUAGCCACAAGAGGGUCUAAUAUCAUGGAAUAACUGAAUGAAUGAAUAAUGUGGGGAGCUGGGGAGUAGGCAUAAAGCUUGAAGAUUUUAUGUUUGGAGAAUACAUAGAACGAAGAUUUUUCUCUGGGCACUGAGUUUAAAGCACCAACUCUCCAGGCGGGGGUGGGCAAAUUCCAGCGCAGCUCCUAAUCCAGCCCAUUCUCUGGUUCUACAAGUUAGAUUUUACUGUAAUUCAGGUGCUCAUGGGUUUAUCGUGUCUUUUAGCAUCAUAUCCCCAGAAUUGAAUAGUUGUGAUGGAGAAUGCAUGCCCUAAAAAAAACUAAAUAUUUCCUCUUUGGACCUUUGGAGAAAAGGUUUGCUAAUCCCUGCCUUAGAAGAAUUAAUGCAAUAGGCAGAAUUCUUCUGAUAUUCCUCUCUUUCAUAAGAUUCCACAGAAACAAAGUAAUUGAAUGAUUCAUUUUUUUCCAACUAAUAUUUACUGAAUGCCUUCUUGAUGUUGUUGGGAAUCAGUAAGAUAUUGGUACAGCCCCCACAUGCUCAGUUCUAGUUGGAGAGAAGAAUGUCUAUUAUGAUGUCCUGUCAAGGAUGAAGACAUAAACUUGAAGAAAGCCCCCAUGGUCAGCAUGUGAUUAGAGCAAGGGUCACUGGCAAGGGAUGUCUCGGGCUUCACAAAGCAGCUUGCUAUCCCUCAUUGUUCUGCUUCUUUGAAGCAUUGAGGGUCCUGUAGCCUCAGAAUAGGGGUAAAGGCCUGAGGAUGACCCAAUGGGCCUCUUGCACAUCGAGAGAGAUUAUGAUGACAGCAAAGGCAACACCCUGUCUCUUUUCUCAUUUUGACCAAUGACCCAUGUUCAUAUACCCCUUGGUGCAGGGAGAGGUAAGUGACGACCUGUUCUGUUAGGUGCAUCAGGUUCUGUGCUAAGCCCUUCAGGAACAUCACU